GUGCUCGAUUCAACAGCACAUACACUAAAAUUGGAACGAUAAGAGAAGUUAGCAUGGCCCCUGUGCAAGGGUGACUGACACGCAAAUUCGUGAAGUGUUGCCAGGCAGU
This 109-nucleotide small nuclear RNA is filed under the name Mus caroli (Ryukyu mouse). The record is from RNAcentral. Lineage: Eukaryota; Metazoa; Chordata; Mammalia; Rodentia; Muridae.